UACGUAGGGGGCAAGCGUUGUCCGGAAUCAUUGGGCGUAAAGCGCGCGUAGGCGGCCCGGUAAGUCCGCUGUGAAAGUCAAAGGCUCAACCUUUGAAUGUCAGCGGAUACUGCCGGGCUAGAGUCCGGAAGAGGCGAGUGGAACUCCUGGUGUAGCGGUGGAAUGCGCAGAUAUCAGGAAGAACACCAACGGCGAAGGCAGCUCGCUGGGACGGAACUGACGCUGAGACGCGAAAGCGUGGGGAGCAAACAGG
This 253-nucleotide ribosomal RNA is filed under the name uncultured bacterium. RNAcentral's name for it is "partial 16S ribosomal RNA". It matches the Rfam family "Bacterial small subunit ribosomal RNA", at positions 524 to 776 of the family's 1533-position model. The record is from RNAcentral.